UAGGGAAUCUUCGGCAAUGGACGAAAAGUCUGACCGAGCAACGCCGCGUGAGUGAAGAAGGUUUUCGGAUCGUAAAACUCUGUUGGUAGAGAAGAACGUUGGUGAGAGUGGAAAGCUCAUCAAGUGACGGUAACUACCCAGAAAGGGACAGCUAAACUACGUGCCAC
This 167-nucleotide ribosomal RNA is filed under the name uncultured bacterium. Its description in RNAcentral is "partial 16S rRNA". It matches the Rfam family "Bacterial small subunit ribosomal RNA", at positions 355 to 511 of the family's 1533-position model. The record is from RNAcentral.